UGCUGUUUAUGUCUAAUGCAAGCUUGGAGGCCCUGACAAAGUUGCAGAAAUAACAGGCAGGCGAGGUAUGCUUGUAAGAGCAUCUAAUGGGAAAGGCGUUACGUAUCAAGCAAGAAACACAAAGGAUAUCACAAUGGAAAUGGUCAACAUGAACGAGAAACAACUAUUUAUGGAUGGUAAAAAGUUUGUUGCCAUUAUUUCUGAAGCUGGUUCAGCUGGUGUUUCGUUACAAGCAGAUAGAAGGGCAAUAAAUCAG
Molecule: non-coding RNA, 256 nt
Organism: Camelina sativa (false flax)
Lineage: Eukaryota; Viridiplantae; Streptophyta; Magnoliopsida; Brassicales; Brassicaceae
Source: RefSeq, a predicted model, not a curated record